RNAcentral lists this ribosomal RNA (554 nucleotides) under uncultured bacterium. RNAcentral describes it as "bacterial SSU rRNA". It matches the Rfam family "Bacterial small subunit ribosomal RNA", at positions 777 to 1327 of the family's 1533-position model. The record is from RNAcentral.
AAUAGAUACCCCGGUAGUCCACGCCGUAAACGAUGAGUGCUAAGUGUUAGGGGGUUUCCGCCCCUUAGUGCUGCAGCUAACGCAUUAAGCACUCCGCCUGGGGAGUACGGUCGCAAGACUGAAACUCAAAGGAAUUGACGGGGGCCCGCACAAGCGGUGGAGCAUGUGGUUUAAUUCGAAGCAACGCGAAGAACCUUACCAGGUCUUGACAUCCCAUUGACCACUAUGGAGACAUAGUUUUCCCUUCGGGGACAACGGUGACAGGUGGUGCAUGGUUGUCGUCAGCUCGUGUCGUGAGAUGUUGGGUUAAGUCCCGCAACGAGCGCAACCCUUGUUCUUAGUCGCCAUCAUUUAGUUGGGCACUCUAAGGAGACUGCCGGUGACAAACCGGAGGAAGGUGGGGAUGACGUCAAAGUCAUCAUGGCCCCUUAUGACCUGGGCUACACACGUGCUACAAUGGACGGUACAAACGGUUGCCAACCCGCGAGGGGGAGCUAAUCCGAUAAAACCGUUCUCAGUUCGGAUUGUAGGCUGCAACUCGCCUACAUGAAGCC